Molecule: unclassified non-coding RNA, 200 nt
Filed under: plant metagenome
Description: partial contains small subunit ribosomal RNA, internal transcribed spacer 1, and 5.8S ribosomal RNA
Source: RNAcentral
UCUCCGUUGGUGAACCGGCGGAGGGAUCAUUAUCGAGUUUAUAACUCCCAAACCCUAUGUGAACUUACCACUUGUUGCUUCGGCGCGCGCUUCGGUGCCGCCGAGGACACUUAAACUCUUUGUUUUUAUAAGCAUUUCUGAGUGGCCGAAAGGCAAAAUACAAAUGAAUCAAAACUUUCAACAACGGAUCUCUUGGUUCU